CCUACGGGUGGCAGCAGUGGGGAAUAUUGGGCAAUGGGCGCAAGCCUGACCCAGCAACGCCGCGUGAAGGAAGAAGGCUUUCGGGUUGUAAACUUCUUUUCUCAGGGACGAAGCAAGUGACGGUACCUGAGGAAUAAGCCACGGCUAACUACGUGCCAGCAGCCGCGGUAAUACGUAGGUGGCAAGCGUUAUCCGGAUUUACUGGGUGUAAAGGGCGUGUAGGCGGGACUGCAAGUCAGAUGUGAAAACCACGGGCUCAACCUGUGGCCUGCAUUUGAAACUGUAGUUCUUGAGUACUGGAGAGGGAGACGGAAUUCCGAGGGGAGCGGUGGAAUGCGUAGAUAUUAGGAGGGAAACCAGGGGCGAAGGCGGUCUGGUGGACAGCAACUGACGGUGAGGCGCGAAAGCGGGGGGAGCAAACAGGAUUAGAUACCCGAGUAGUC
RNAcentral lists this ribosomal RNA (443 nucleotides) under uncultured bacterium. RNAcentral's name for it is "partial 16S ribosomal RNA". It matches the Rfam family "Bacterial small subunit ribosomal RNA", at positions 338 to 795 of the family's 1533-position model. The record is from RNAcentral.